This 121-nucleotide small RNA is filed under the name Brucella daejeonensis. Its description in RNAcentral is "Ochrobactrum daejeonense ar14". It matches the Rfam family "Alphaproteobacterial ar14". From Rfam's summary of the family: Smr14C2 was renamed NfeR1 (Nodule Formation Efficiency RNA) highly expressed in salt stress and during the symbiotic interaction on legume roots. Lineage: Bacteria; Pseudomonadati; Pseudomonadota; Alphaproteobacteria; Hyphomicrobiales; Brucellaceae. The record is from RNAcentral.
AAUCCGUGACCGGUUGUUCCGUUCCUCCCAAUUCCCCAGCGAUCAAAGAUCAGACGUCCUCCUCGCAGAAUCUGAUCUUUUCCAUAAACACCCGUCGCUCCUCCUGCGGCGGGUGUUUUAU